RNAcentral lists this ribosomal RNA (424 nucleotides) under uncultured prokaryote. RNAcentral's name for it is "bacterial SSU rRNA". It matches the Rfam family "Bacterial small subunit ribosomal RNA", at positions 355 to 796 of the family's 1533-position model. The record is from RNAcentral.
UAGGGAAUAUUGGACAAUGGGCGAAAGCCUGAUCCAGCAAUGCCGCGUGAGUGAUGAAGGCCUUAGGGUUGUAAAGCUCUUUUACCAGGGAUGAUAAUGACAGUACCUGGAGAAUAAGCUCCGGCUAACUCCGUGCCAGCAGCCGCGGUAAUACGGAGGGAGCUAGCGUUGUUCGGAAUUACUGGGCGUAAAGCGCGCGUAGGCGGCUUUUCAAGUCAGGGGUGAAAUCCCGGGGCUCAACCCCGGAACUGCCCUUGAAACUGGAUGGCUAGAAUACUGGAGAGGUGAGUGGAAUUCCGAGUGUAGAGGUGAAAUUCGUAGAUAUUCGGAAGAACACCAGUGGCGAAGGCGACUCACUGGACAGUUAUUGACGCUGAGGUGCGAAAGCGUGGGGAGCAAACAGGAUUAGAUACCCCCGUAGUCC